RNAcentral lists this long non-coding RNA (431 nucleotides) under Solanum tuberosum (potato). RNAcentral describes it as "long non-coding RNA (STUB_LNC006168)". Lineage: Eukaryota; Viridiplantae; Streptophyta; Magnoliopsida; Solanales; Solanaceae. The record is from RNAcentral.
UGAUUAAUGGACUCAAGGAGGUACCCAAGAUCAUCUAAAUAGAUGAAAAUAGAUUGUGAAAAAGAAAGAAAAAGGGAUUGGGCAGGGGAUGGAUAUGGCUGAAAAGGAGGUUUUUUUUUUCUGCAUAAAAUCACCAAACAUUACCAAAUUCUUCAAUAUUUACAUUAACAAUUCAGAUCAUUCAUAAUCAAAAUCUAAGAUUCAUCAAUCGGAUUCUCUUCCGGUUCAUCAAAAUUAGGGUCAUUUGCAUCAACAACAACAACAUCAGCUUCUUCUUUCUUAGAAGAAUAACUUCCGUCGCCGGCCCAAGUAAACUUUCCACCAUGGCCGCCUUUCUUCAGAGAUCCACUUAUUUCGGGGGCAUCUUGGCUUGAUUUGGGGAUAAUUUUGGAACUUUUUGAUGUAUUCUUCAUAGUGACUUUUUUUCAGUG